Molecule: non-coding RNA, 48 nt
Filed under: Schistosoma mattheei
Lineage: Eukaryota; Metazoa; Platyhelminthes; Trematoda; Strigeidida; Schistosomatidae
Source: RNAcentral
AUCCAGCUAACGAGUCCCAAAUGGGACAAAACGUGCGUCAAACUAGAU